Molecule: ribosomal RNA, 253 nt
Filed under: uncultured bacterium
Lineage: Bacteria
Description: partial 16S ribosomal RNA
Rfam family: Bacterial small subunit ribosomal RNA
Source: RNAcentral
UACGUAGGGGGCAAGCGUUGUCCGGAUUUAUUGGGCGUAAAGAGCGUAUAGGCGGCCAGGUAGGUCAGCUGUGAAAACUCGAGGCUCAACCUCGAGCUGUCGGCUGAAACCAUCUGGCUAGAGUCCGGAAGAGGAGAAUGGAAUUCCCGGUGUAGCGGUGAAAUGCGCAGAUAUCGGGAAGAACACCCGUGGCGAAAGCGCACUUCUGGGUUGUUACUGACGCUGAGGUACGAAAGCGUGGGGAGCAAACGGG